GUUUUCGUUCCUUUUACUCCACCUUUGACUUUGUAACAGGGAGAAUUUCCAUUCCUUAGUGGAAGUUUGUAGAACGUGACUGUGAUACUGCUUUACAGAGUCCUUGAAAUAGGUUGUCAUACAUCACUGCCCACAGCUUUGCCAGCACUGGUUCAGCUGAGAAGAGGUCUAACUCCAGAGUUAGCUGUACCACAAAAUCCUCGGGAGGACACCGUUCCCUGGUUCUUUCCGACUCAAAAAGAGGUAUUGUUUAAGAAAGUGGGAGGUACACCCUCCGAAGAGAAGAAACAGGAGCAAGGGACACGCAGCCUCUGGAGGGCUUCUCAAGUGCGGUACACGUGAACCCCUUGCCAUUAAAGGGGCUCUUUUCUUGACCGGUUUUUCUUCUGGACAGCAGCUUCUGCAGCAUUCAGAAAGUUACAAAACAAGUCCUUGGACUCGGCCGAGCGUUCAACGUGUAUUAAGUGCCUACUAUGCGCCUAAAUUUUAGAAUUCUAAAUUUUAGAAUUUAAUCUAAAAUAAGUUAGAAUAAGUGACUAAGGCUUUAGGCCCUUAGCCAAAUGUAAUCAGAUUGCACAACUUGGCUAAAUGUUAUCUUACUUAUGGAUUGGACUGUAUUUACUCUGAGUCCAGGCUCGAUGCAUAACUGCUCGAUCUUUCUCCUCCCUGUCUCCUCCCCACCGCCCCCACCCCCGCUCCACCCCACCCGGGCCCCCUGACUGGGUGGGGGAAACAGAGGAAGAGGGAGAGGAUGCCAAGCUGAAGCCAAGUCCCUUGUGAGGCACAUCUCUUUGCUUAUGGUCUCACAAGUCCUCACUCAAUUCCCAAACCCAUCUAGAAGAGCUUGCUUCGUUUCCCACUUCCUAAACAACAAAUUUAUCUGUGUCUACAUUUCCCUCCUUCUCUCCAGUUUUUUUUUUAAAUUUUUUUAAUGUUUAUUUAUUUUUGAGACAGAGAGAGACAGAGCAUGAACGGGGGAGGGGCAGAAUCGGAAGCAGGCUCCAGGCUCUGAGCCAUCAGCCCAGAGCCCGUCGCGGGGCUCAAACUCACGGAUCGUGAGAUCGUGACCUGAGCUGAAGUCGGACGCUUAACCGACUGAGCCACCCAGGCGCCCCUUCUCUCCAGUUUUAAAGCUUGUCUCUCCACCAAUCUUGAUCAGAGCCCCUUUCAGCUUCUCUAGGGUGGAAUCACAUCUUAAGGUGGAGUUUAGAUUCUUGCGUCAGCACACAGGCAAGCGUCACACAGAGUCAAAAUUAUCCUAGUAGGCUUCUCAAAUCACGCAUCACAGGAUGUCAGAUAGGGCUGUGGGAAUGCGGUUCUGUAGGGUAAUAUAGAAGUAGGAGUGUAUCAAGCAAAAGUAAUAUAUAGGUGUAAGGCAUGUGUACUGCACAAGG
This 1394-nucleotide long non-coding RNA is filed under the name Felis catus (domestic cat). RNAcentral describes it as "lncRNA (ENSFCAG00000043247.2)". The record is from RNAcentral. Lineage: Eukaryota; Metazoa; Chordata; Mammalia; Carnivora; Felidae.